AUUUCUCAUUUUAGCUUAUAUGUAAGUUAACUAUUAUUUUAUUUAGCAAAUUGUAAUUCAUUUUAAUAUUUAAUUAAACCUUUUAAACUGAAUAAGAUAGUUGUUAAUUGAAAAUCUAGUUACAAAUUUUGAAAUAAUGUGGAAAAUAAAUUAACUUUUUUUUAAUCUUUACUGGAAAUAGGAAUUAACAGAUAAACAAGGAAAUUUGUACUAUCUGAGUAAACUACUAUAGUUAUGCACUGCUUAUAUAUUAUUAUAAACUGCAGUACAGAAAUACAGCUGACAAAUUUAUAAAAAUAUUAGCCGUUUAUUUCUUUAAAAUUUAAAUUAUGUUUAUUUCUUAAAGUGUAGGUGUAUCUGUAAUGCGGUUUCUUUUAUCCACAUUUAUGUUUUUACAUUUCAACGCAUGUUUUCUGUUCGUGCAUAUUCUGAAAUACAUCAUAGGUUUAAGCACGUAGAAUCGUGUAUUCAGAUUAAUUUCUGUUUUAGGGGGAUUUUUACACCACUCCUGAUCGUCACUUGGGGCCAGGGUGGAUUGAUAAAUGCAGGCCAGACCUGCUGAUUACAGAUUCUACAGAUGGUACUACAAUUAGCGACUCAAAAUGUUAUAGAGAAAGAGAUUUUUUGACCAAAGUACAUGACUGUGUCGAAAAGGUGGUAAAGUUUCCAUUCCAGUUUUUUCACUGGGUCCAGGUCAAGAGAUGUGCAUUCUUCUUUAAACUUACUGGGAGAAGAUGAAUCUUAAAAUACCCAUCUAUUUUGCUGUAGGUUUAACUGAAAAAACUACCACCUUUUAUAGGAUGCUCACAAGUUAGACCAACCAAAAAAUCAAGAAAAUAUUUGUGCACCAUAAUAUGUUUGAUUUCAAACAUAUCAAGCCCUUUGACUGUGCUUAUAUAGAUAAUCCUGGUCCUAUGGUUGUUUUUGAAACUCCAGGAAUGUUGCACUAUAUAUUAUCUGUUCAAAUAUUCAAAAUGCAAAUAACAUGGUUAGUGCUUUAUUUAUUAAUUUAUUUUUGUUUGCAAGUAUUAGUAAACAUAUUCUCAAUAGUCAUGUAUGUCAGAAUCAUUUUUCUUAAUCAUUCGAGCUCAAGUAUAACUCCUCAUACCACGUAACAUGUUUUUAUUUGUUGUGAAACAAGACCUAACUCUU
This is a non-coding RNA of Parasteatoda tepidariorum (common house spider), 1152 nucleotides long. The record is from RefSeq and is a predicted model, not a curated record. NCBI's taxonomy places the organism in Eukaryota, Metazoa, Arthropoda, Arachnida, Araneae, Theridiidae.